UCAGAGUGAACACUUCUACAAUGCAUCUUCAUUCAGUUAUUCUGUUCUGUGUCUCAACCGCUGCUGUCUUUGCAAAUGACAUCAAACCAAACAAAACGAUUGUUUUUGCUGAGGAGGGUUCAAGUGUUACAUUAUCCUGUAGUUUUUCUGAUUCUAGCAAUACAGAUUACCUCCACUGGUACCGUCAGUAUGGAAGAUCAAAACCUGAAUUUCUUGUACUCACCAUCGACUCUGCAAACAAAGCUCAGCCGUCUGUUGUAGAUCCAAGAUUCACUGUUAAUAUUACAAAAAAGGAACAAGUGGAUCUGAAGAUCUCCUCUGCUGCUGUAUCAGACUCUGCUCUGUACUACUGUGCUCUGCAGCCCACAGUGACAGGAAACACAUCAGCUCUCUACAAAAACCUGUUACAAUGAGAGACAAGAGUGAGAGAAAUUAUGGAAAGAAGCUAGAUAUACAAAUAUUUAAGUAAUGUAAGUGCACAAAGGAUCAAAACAUAAAACAAAGCAACAUUCUAAAGUGGGACAA
This is a non-coding RNA of Labeo rohita (rohu), 525 nucleotides long. NCBI's taxonomy places the organism in Eukaryota, Metazoa, Chordata, Actinopteri, Cypriniformes, Cyprinidae. The record is from the annotation of a RefSeq genome assembly.